This 69-nucleotide transfer RNA is filed under the name Marmota monax (woodchuck). RNAcentral's name for it is "tRNA.Ala". Lineage: Eukaryota; Metazoa; Chordata; Mammalia; Rodentia; Sciuridae. The record is from RNAcentral.
UGGGGUUUAGCUCAGUGGUAGAGUACAUGCUUAGCAUAUAUGAGAGCCAGGUUCAGUCCCUAGCACCAA